GGGUGAGUAACACGUGGGUAACCUGCCCAGAAGCAGGGGAUAACACCUGGAAACAGAUGCUAAUACCGUAUAACAGAGAAAACCGCCUGGUUUUCUUUUAAAAGAUGGCUCUGCUAUCACUUCUGGAUGGACCCGCGGCGCAUUAGCUAGUUGGUGAGGUAACGGCUCACCAAGGCGACGAUACGUAGCCGACCUGAGAGGGUGAUCGGCCACACUGGAACUGAGACACGGUCCAG
RNAcentral lists this ribosomal RNA (236 nucleotides) under uncultured Lactobacillaceae bacterium. RNAcentral describes it as "partial 16S ribosomal RNA". It matches the Rfam family "Bacterial small subunit ribosomal RNA", at positions 104 to 334 of the family's 1533-position model. The record is from RNAcentral. Lineage: Bacteria; Bacillati; Bacillota; Bacilli; Lactobacillales; Lactobacillaceae.